Molecule: ribosomal RNA, 565 nt
Filed under: uncultured bacterium
Lineage: Bacteria
Description: partial 16S ribosomal RNA
Rfam family: Bacterial small subunit ribosomal RNA
Source: RNAcentral
UGGGGAAUUUUGGACAAUGGGGCAACCCUGAUCCAGCAAUGCCGCGUGUGUGAAGAAGGCCUUCGGGUUGUAAAGCACUUUUGUCCGGAAAGAAAACGCCGUGGUUAAUACCCGUGGCGGAUGACGGUACCGGAAGAAUAAGCACCGGCUAACUACGUGCCAGCAGCCGCGGUAAUACGUAGGGUGCAAGCGUUAAUCGGAAUUACUGGGCGUAAAGCGUGCGCAGGCGGUCCGCUAAGACAGAUGUGAAAUCCCCGGGCUUAACCUGGGAACUGCAUUUGUGACUGGCGGGCUAGAGUAUGGCAGAGGGGGGUAGAAUUCCACGUGUAGCAGUGAAAUGCGUAGAGAUGUGGAGGAAUACCGAUGGCGAAGGCAGCCCCCUGGGCCAAUACUGACGCUCAUGCACGAAAGCGUGGGGGAGCAAACAGGAUUAGAUACCCUGGUAGUCCACGCCCUAAACGAUGUCAACUAGUUGUCGGGUCUUCAUUGACUUGGUAACGUAGCUAACGCGUGAAGUUGACCGCCUGGGGAGUACGGUCGCAAGAUUAAAACUUAAAGAAUUGAC